GCAAUACGAUAGGAUCACACAUGCAGAUGAACGGUUUUUCUUCCACCGGAGCUUGCUCACCCGCUAGCUAAGGAGUGGCGAACGGGCGAGUAACACGUGGGUAACCUACCCUCGAGCGGAGGAUGCACUUGUCUUUGGGAGCUAAUACCGCAUAACAAAGAAAACCGCAUGGUUUUCUUUUGAAAGGCGCUUUUGACGUCUCGAGGAUGGACCCGCGCUCCUUUUCUAGUUGGUGAGGAGCGGCUCACCAAGGCAACGAUGCAUACUUGACCUGAGAGGGUGAUCGGCCACAUUGGGACUGAGCCAUGUCCAAACUCUAUACGGGAGGCAGCAGUAGGGAAUCUUCGGCAAUGGACGAAAGUCUGACCGAGCAACGCCGCGUGAGUGAAGAAGGUUUUCGGAUCGUAAAACUCUGUUGUUAGAGAAGAACAAGGGUGAGAGUAGAAAGUUCACCCCUUGACGGUAUCUAACCAGAAAGCCACGGCUAACUACGUGCCAGCAGCCGCGGUAAUACGUAGGUGGCAAGCGUUGUCCGGAUUUAUUGGGCGUAAAGCGAGCGCAGGCGGUUUCUUAAGUCUGAUGUGAAAGCCCCCGGCUCAACCGGGGAGGGUCAUUGGAAACUGGGAAACUUGAGUGCAGAAGAGGAGAGUGGAAUUCCAUGUGUAGCGGUGAAAUGCGUAGAUAUAUGGAGGAACACCAGUGGCGAAGCCGGCUCUCUGGUCUGUAACUGACGCUGAGGCUCGAAAGCGUGGGGAGCAAACAGGAUUAGAUACCCUGGUAGUCCACGCCGUAAACGAUGAGUGCUAAGUGUUGGAGGGUUUCCGCCCUUCAGUGCUGCAGCUAACGCAUUAAGCACUCCGCCUGGGGAGUACGACGCAAGUUGAAACUCAAAGGAAUUGACGGGGCCCGCACAGCGGUGAGCAUGUGUUAAUUCGAGCACGCGAGACCUUACCAGUCUUGACAUCCUUUGACACUCUAGAGAUAGAGCUUCCUCUUCGGGCAAGUGACAGUGUGCAUGGUUGUCUGGUUGUCGUCAGCUCGUGUCGUGAGAUGUUGGGUUAAGUCCCGCAACGAGCGCAACCCUUAUUGUUAGUUGCCAUCAUUUAGUUGGGCACUCUAGCGAGACUGCCGGUGACAAACCGGAGGAAGGUGGGGAUGACGUCAAAUCAUCAUGCCCCUUAUGACCUGGGCUACACACGUGCUACAAUGGGAAGUACAACGAGUCGCGAAGUCGCGAGGCUAAGCUAAUCUCUUAAAGCUUCUCUCAGUUCGGAUUGUAGGCUGCAACUCGCCUACAUGAAGCCGGAAUCGCUAGUAAUCGCGGAUCAGCACGCCGCGGUGAAUACGUUCCCGGGCCUUGUACACACCGCCCGUCACACCACGAGAGUUUGUAACACCCGAAGUCGGUGAGGUAACCUUUUGG
RNAcentral lists this ribosomal RNA (1423 nucleotides) under Enterococcus sp. Its description in RNAcentral is "bacterial SSU rRNA". It matches the Rfam family "Bacterial small subunit ribosomal RNA". The record is from RNAcentral. Lineage: Bacteria; Bacillati; Bacillota; Bacilli; Lactobacillales; Enterococcaceae.